AGAGCGAACGCUGGCGGCAGGCCUAACACAUGCAAGUCGAGCGCCCCGCAAGGGGAGCGGCAGACGGGAGAGUAACACGUGGGAACGUACCCUUUGGUUCGGAACAACACAGGGAAACUUGUGCUAAUACCGGAUAAGCCCUUACGGGGAAAGAUUUAUCGCCAAAGGAUCGGCCCGCGUCUGAUUAGCUUGUUGGUGAGGUAACGGCUCACCAAGGCUACGAUCAGUAGCUGGUCUGAGAGGAUGAUCAGCCUCACUGGGACUGAGACACGGCCCAGACUCCUACGGGAGGCAGCAGUGGGGAAUAUGGACAAUGGCGCAAGCCUGAUCCAGCCAUGCCGCGUGGAUGAUGAAGGCCCUAGGGUUGUAAAGUCCUUUCGACGGGGAAGAUAAUGACGGUACCCGUAGAAGAAGCCCCGGCUAACUUCGUGCCAGCAGCCGC
This 442-nucleotide ribosomal RNA is filed under the name uncultured bacterium. RNAcentral's name for it is "SSU rRNA". It matches the Rfam family "Bacterial small subunit ribosomal RNA", at positions 26 to 518 of the family's 1533-position model. The record is from RNAcentral.